AUUGAACGCUGGCGGCAGGCCUAACACAUGCAAGUCGAACGGUAGCACAGAGAGCUUGCUCUCGGGUGACGAGUGGCGGACGGGUGAGUAACGUCUGGGAAACUGCCCGAUGGAGGGGGAUAACUACUGGAAACGGUAGCUAAUACCGCAUAACGUCACAAGACCAAAGUGGGGGAUCUUCGGGCCUCACCCCACCGGAUUCGCCCCGAUGGGAUUAGCUAGUAGGUGGGGUAAUGGCUCACCUAAGCGACGGUACCUAGCUGGUCUGUGAGGAUGACCAGCCACACUGGAACUGAGACACGGUCCAGACUCCUACGGGAGGCAGCAGUGGGGAAUAUUGCACAAUGGGCGCAAGCCUGAUGCAGCCGUGCCGCGUGUAUGAAGAAGGCCUUCGGGUUGUAAAGGACUUUCAGCGGGGAGGAAGGCGGUGAAGUUAAUAGCUUAACCGAUUGACGUUACCCGCAGAAGAAGCACCGGCUAACUCCGUGCCAGCCGCCGCCGUAA
Molecule: ribosomal RNA, 504 nt
Filed under: uncultured bacterium
Lineage: Bacteria
Description: partial 16S ribosomal RNA
Rfam family: Bacterial small subunit ribosomal RNA
Source: RNAcentral